GAUGAACGCUGGCGGCGUGCCUAAUACAUGCAAGUCGAGCGAACAGACGAGGAGCUUGCUCCUCUGACGUUAGCGGCGGACGGGUGAGUAACACGUGGAUAACCUACCUAUAAGACUGGGAUAACUUCGGGAAACCGGAGCUAAUACCGGAUAAUAUAUUGAACCGCAUGGUUCAAUAGUGAAAGACGGUUUUGCUGUCACUUAUAGAUGGAUCCGCGCCGCAUUAGCUAGUUGGUAAGGUAACGGCUUACCAAGGCAACGAUGCGUAGCCGACCUGAGAGGGUGAUCAGCCACAAUGGAACUGAGACACGGUCCAGACUCCUACGGGAGGCAGCAGUAGGGAAUCUUCCGCAAUGGGCGAAAGCCUGACGGAGCAACGCCGCGUGAGUGAUGAAGGUCUUCGGAUCGUAAAACUCUGUUAUUAGGGAAGAACAAAUGUGUAAGUAACUAUGCACGUCUUGACGGUACCUAAUCAGAAAGCCACGGCUAACUACGUG
Molecule: ribosomal RNA, 497 nt
Filed under: uncultured bacterium
Lineage: Bacteria
Description: partial 16S ribosomal RNA
Rfam family: Bacterial small subunit ribosomal RNA
Source: RNAcentral